This 468-nucleotide ribosomal RNA is filed under the name uncultured bacterium. Its description in RNAcentral is "partial 16S ribosomal RNA". It matches the Rfam family "Bacterial small subunit ribosomal RNA", at positions 28 to 507 of the family's 1533-position model. The record is from RNAcentral.
GACGAACGCUGGCGGCGUGCUUAACACAUGCAAGUCGAACGGAAAGGCCCUGCUUUUGUGGGGUGCUCGAGUGGCGAACGGGUGAGUAACACGUGAGUAACCUGCCCUUGACUUUGGGAUAACUUCAGGAAACUGGGGCUAAUACCGGAUAGGAGCUCCUGCUGCAUGGUGGGGGUUGGAAAGUUUCGGCGGUUGGGGAUGGACUCGCGGCUUAUCAGCUUGUUGGUGGGGUAGUGGCUUACCAAGGCUUUGACGGGUAGCCGGCCUGAGAGGGUGAACGGGCACAAUGGGACUGAGGUACGGACCAGACUGCUACGGGAGGCAAGAGGGGGGAAUAUUGCACAAUGGGCGGAAGCCUGAUGCAGCAACGCCGCGUGCGGGAUGACGGCCUUCGGGUUGUAAACCGCUUUCGCCUGUGACGAAGCGUGAGUGACGGUAAUGGGUAAAGAAGCACCGGCUAACUACGUG